Molecule: ribosomal RNA, 296 nt
Filed under: uncultured bacterium
Lineage: Bacteria
Description: partial 16S ribosomal RNA
Rfam family: Bacterial small subunit ribosomal RNA
Source: RNAcentral
AAAUCCUACGGGAGGCAGCAGUGGGGGAUAUUGCACAAUGGGGGAAACCCUGAUGCAGCGACGCCGCGUGGACGAAGAAGUAUUUCGGUAUGUAAAGUCCUAUCAGCAGGGAAGAAGAAAUGACGGUACCUGACUAAGAAGCCCCGGCUAACUACGUGCCAGCAGCCGCGGUAAUACGUAGGGGGCAAGCGUUAUCCGGAUUUACUGGGUGUAAAGGGAGCGUAGACGGCAGCGCAAGUCUGGAGUGAAAUGCCGGGGCCCAACCCCGGAACUGCUUUGGAAACUGUGCGGCUCGA